This 791-nucleotide small RNA is filed under the name Drosophila pseudoobscura pseudoobscura. RNAcentral describes it as "GA30585". Lineage: Eukaryota; Metazoa; Arthropoda; Insecta; Diptera; Drosophilidae. The record is from RNAcentral.
AACUAAGCGGAAUGGGCAAAUAGGGUAAGGGGGUAAGGGGGGGGAUGCCGGAUAAUGCCGCGCAUUUUGCGCUUUAGCUUUUCUGACAACUUUUUCAUGUGCUUUCUCCAUUGCUGUUGUUGUGGCAGUUUUUCUGCUAAACUUUUAUUGCAAUACGUUUUGCAAUAUUGUUGCCGUUCGAUUUUCGUUCAAUCAUUUUUGCGCGUGCUGGUGUGAAAUGCGAUCGGGCGGAGUGGGAAGGGGGACGGCAGACGGAGAGAGAGAGAGAGAGAGGGAAUACCUACUGCGUAAAUAGCGGCAACAAGUGUUGACGCCUGCAGCUCUCCGCAGCGUCGCUUGCCAAGAAUUUGCUGUGCUUUCAAAACAAAACAAAAACCCAACAGCGACGGCGGCGGCGCCUUGGCCUACGUAACGGGUUAACACUUACCCUCGUCCACUAUUUAACAGGUUACACGUGCAGUAACAUUGUACAAAUCGCAAGCUGAUAAGAAUGCUGCCGCUGCCGCUGCCGCUACCUCUGCCGCUACCGCUGCCAAUGGCAGGUGUGCAUACGGAACCGAGCUAUGCUUUUCGGUCGCACGCUGAUAAGGCGGCCACUGGAACUGUAAAUUGCAUUUUGCGCAUCAGCCUUGGCCAGGCAACAUUGUUGCUAUCGUCCCACACGGCGAAGUCUUCCGUUAAGAAGGACAUUCCCGAUGGCUUUCUUCGAAAUAGGAACAAAAAUCCCACAUUUAAGCAAUGAAAUAUCUCUGAUAGAGCACCAACUUCAGGAAUAAAUGAUUUAAAACUGU